AUUGAACGCUGGCGGCAGGCUUAACACAUGCAAGUCGAGCGGUAGCACAGGGGAGCUUGCUCCCUGGGUGACGAGCGGCGGACGGGUGAGUAAUGUCUGGGAAACUGCCUGAUGGAGGGGGAUAACUACUGGAAACGGUAGCUAAUACCGCAUAACGUCGCAAGACCAAAGAGGGGGACCUUCGGGCCUCUUGCCAUCAGAUGUGCCCAGAUGGGAUUAGCUAGUAGGUAGGGUAAUGGCUCACCUAGGCGACGAUCCCUAGCUGGUCUGAGAGGAUGACCAGCCACACUGGAACUGAGACACGGUCCAGACUCCUACGGGAGGCAGCAGUGGGGAAUAUUGCACAAUGGGCGCAAGCCUGAUGCAGCCAUGCCGCGUGUGUGAAGAAGGCCUUCGGGUUGUAAAGCACUUUCAGCGAGGAGGAAGGUGGUGAACUUAAUACGUUCAUCAAUUGACGUUACUCGCAGAAGAAGCACCGGCUAACUCCGUG
Molecule: ribosomal RNA, 490 nt
Filed under: uncultured bacterium
Lineage: Bacteria
Description: partial 16S ribosomal RNA
Rfam family: Bacterial small subunit ribosomal RNA
Source: RNAcentral